UAGGGAAUCUUCGGCAAUGGGGGCAACCCUGACCGAGCAACGCCGCGUGAGUGAAGAAGGUUUUCGGAUCGUAAAGCUCUGUUGUAAGAGAAGAACGUGUGUGAGAGUGGAAAGUUCACACAGUGACGGUAACUUACCAGAAAGGGACGGCUAACUACGUGCCAGCAGCCGCGGUAAUACGUAGGUCCCGAGCGUUGUCCGGAUUUAUUGGGCGUAAAGCGAGCGCAGGCGGUUUAAUAAGUCUGAAGUUAAAGGCAGUGGCUUAACCAUUGUUCGCUUUGGAAACUGUUAAACUUGAGUGCAGAAGGGGAGAGUGGAAUUCCAUGUGUAGCGGUGAAAUGCGUAGAUAUAUGGAGGAACACCGGUGGCGAAAGCGGCUCUCUGGUCUGUAACUGACGCUGAGGCUCGAAAGCGUGGGGAGCAAAAAGG
This 429-nucleotide ribosomal RNA is filed under the name bacterium. RNAcentral's name for it is "partial 16S ribosomal RNA". It matches the Rfam family "Bacterial small subunit ribosomal RNA", at positions 355 to 776 of the family's 1533-position model. The record is from RNAcentral.